GUCUGGUCCCAAGGUAGUGAGUUAUCUCACUUGUUUGUUCACAGUCAGCUACAGAUUGAACUCCUUGUUCUACUACUGUCCCCUUCUCACUACUGCAUUUGUCAAAAACAAA
This 112-nucleotide Y RNA is filed under the name Microcebus murinus (gray mouse lemur). RNAcentral describes it as "Y RNA (ENSMICG00000041973.1)". It matches the Rfam family "Y RNA". From Rfam's summary of the family: Y RNAs are components of the Ro ribonucleoprotein particle (Ro RNP), in association with Ro60 and La proteins. The Y RNAs and Ro60 and La proteins are well conserved, but the function of the Ro RNP is not known. In humans the RNA component can be one of four small RNAs -- hY1, hY3, hY4 and hY5. The record is from RNAcentral. Lineage: Eukaryota; Metazoa; Chordata; Mammalia; Primates; Cheirogaleidae.